UACGUAGGGGGCAAGCGUUGUCCGGAUUUAUUGGGCGUAAAGAGCGUGUAGGCGGCCAGGUAGGUCUGCUGUGAAAACUCGAGGCUCAACCUCGAGACGUCGGCGGAAACCAUCUGGCUAGAGUCCGGAAGAGGAGAGUGGAAUUCCUGGUGUAGCGGUGAAAUGCGCAGAUAUCAGGAAGAACACCCGUGGCGAAGGCGGCUCUCUGGGACGGUACUGACGCUGAGACGCGAAAGCGUGGGUAGCAAACGGG
This 253-nucleotide ribosomal RNA is filed under the name uncultured bacterium. RNAcentral's name for it is "partial 16S ribosomal RNA". It matches the Rfam family "Bacterial small subunit ribosomal RNA", at positions 524 to 776 of the family's 1533-position model. The record is from RNAcentral.